Molecule: long non-coding RNA, 1101 nt
Organism: Sebastes umbrosus (honeycomb rockfish)
Lineage: Eukaryota; Metazoa; Chordata; Actinopteri; Perciformes; Sebastidae
Exons: 3
Source: RefSeq, a predicted model, not a curated record
GUCAGUGACCUUCCAGUCAGUGACCUUCCAGUCAGCCUACAGCAGAGGUUCCGGCCGGAUCUGCUCCGGACAACCUAGCUUUUCAGCAAUCUCCUAGAUUUCUUCUCCCUGUGUGUCCUGUAUGUCGCUCUGUGUCUCACUCAGGGAUGCAGGCGUUGGCCCUGACAGACGCCGGCUCUACUACAGACGCAGCUGACCGGCAUUCACCUCCUCUCUCUGGGCAUGAACGGAUCAAGUGUUCAUCCAUUCUUCACCCGAAACACUUCAUCGUAUCUGAAGUUAAGUGGCAUGAAUAGUAGGGAUGCACCGAUACCGAUCCGAAUACGGUCAUUUAAUAAUAUUCAGAGCUAGGGUGUGUGCCUUUGUGUUUUCCUUUUUGCGCCACCCGAAACCCUCGUUUUUGGUUAUUAUAAUUCAAACCAUUGUAUGCUUUAUUUUACUUUAAUUUCAUUCACGGCAAUAAAACAAGCGAUUGCCUGAUAACACCGGCUGUAUGUUACUUCCUUCACCCCUACACCACCUCUGGGUUGUAACACAUCCAGUAGAACUGUUGUUUCAACAGCAUUUAAAUGACUAUAUUUCAUCACUGUAAUACGGUCAUUUAUUAACCCUGAUCUGGGUCAGAGCUAUUCAUGAUAUCAUUAAAUUAUGUUUAUGCUGACGUUGAAUAAACUAUCACAUUUAGCCCAUUGAUUGGUUGAUCGGAGAUCAUCGUCAUCACUACACAGACGUCAUGACUGACAUCAUGACAACACAGACGUCAUGACUGACGUCAUGACAACAGAGACGUCAUGACUGACGUCAUGACAACAGAGACGUCAUGACUGACGUCACAGUCCUCGCUCGAAAAGUUUACUUAUAGGACCCGCGCUGCGAUCAGGUUCAGAUCAUCGUGGUUAAUAUUGCUGGAAAGCUGGGUUGUUCGGUGCCGGUCGGGGUUCUCUAUGAGGCCUCUCCGGAUCAACAUUGAGCAAUCGAGGACUAUCAGCUGUUAACUGAAGAAGACGGAAGACUGAAGACUGAAGACUGAAGACGGAAGACUGAAGAUGCAACGUGGUGGGUGGUGGGGGUGACUGACUGACUGACUGGGUGACUGACUGA